Long non-coding RNA from Notothenia coriiceps (black rockcod), 2017 nucleotides. RefSeq lists it as uncharacterized. The transcript has 3 exons. NCBI's taxonomy places the organism in Eukaryota, Metazoa, Chordata, Actinopteri, Perciformes, Nototheniidae. The record is from RefSeq and is a predicted model, not a curated record.
UUUUUAAGGUGUGACCCUGCCACAGUGAACAUCACUGAUGAGAUGUCUAAAGGAUCUUUCGGAAAUGUGUGGAAGAAUGUCGACCCUAGUGAGACCACGAAGAAGGAGCCAAGCGCUAAAAGCUCCCCUUCCUAACCUCUCAGAAGCUGAUAUCCCAAAGUUCUAGCGGCGAAAAGCGACACAAACGCCGGAGGCAUGAUAAGAGCUUGGACAGGGAGACAAGUUUGUGAUGACACCUACUUUCUGGCGGUGCCACUGUGCUGUCAAUCAGUAGAUCAAAAAACAAAAAAAAGCUGUACCGUGCCACACUCAACCACCUUUGUACUGUGCUACACUGUGUUUUCGUCAUGUAAGUCUGUGUGCAAGUUGUGUAAAACAAAGAAUUUGUUAGAAACAGUAUUAGCACGGGAAGGAAUCAGGACACAGUUGUGUUCUUUUUCAAUGUAUAUCAAUGUUUGGUGAUACCAGCGACAGACGGAAGCCAGAAUUAUACGACACUUACAAAAGCUGCUGUGUCAAUGGGCCAAUUAAAUAACCAUUUUAAACAAUUUUUAAAUCUACUUUAUUUGUAUUUUGUAUGUUUUUAUAUUUUUCCAACAGUAGUUGUAAGAUGUCCUAAGCCUGCCACAGCCGACUGCAGAUGUGUGUGCAGUAUUUAAUGCCACUAUUGACUUGAUGCACCUCGAAAAGUAGACAUUUGCCUAAUCUAUUUCACUGGUAUCUAGGAGUUGGUUAUAUAACAAAACUAGUAAUUUUUUGGAAAGUAUUAAAUAUACAUUUUCUAUAUUCUGUAUAUCUUAAUGUUUUUGUGACAGUAACAGCUCAUAUCGCUCCAGAGUUUUCUCCCUUUCUAUUUUACAAAUAAAUGUCUCUCGUCCAGUAAAGCAUUCCCCCGCACGAGUUAAAGGAACAGUCUUUCUGGUUAUUACUCUCAUUCCUUUUCUGCUAGAUGACAAGAUCGAUACCCCUCUCAUGCCUGUACACUAAACAUAAAGCUAGCUCAAGACUUAAAACACGUAAACAGCUAGGCUGGCUCUGACCAAAUGUAACAAAAAUAGCCAAAAUGUCUCUGAUUAAUAACUUUAAAUGUUGUUUGUAUUAUCUGUGCAAAAACCAAAAUGUAAAAAGGUAUUUCUUUUGUUGCUGCUAUUUUUUGGCAGGUAGCAUGCGACAGCUUAAUUUUUAGCAAACAGACACGAGAGCGGUAUUGGUCUAUCUCUAUACAAAAAAAAAGUGAAUAAGCAUAUUGACCGAGUUAAGCUCUUCCUUUAAUGACAGUAUUCGUUUACUGGCACACAUUUCCAUGCUAGCAUCUAAGCAUAGUGCUGGAACGUUCAGUACCUGCAGCUACUCGCCUUGGCUUUUCAAUCCCUUUUUCAUCCAUUUUGCAAAUACCGAACUAGAGUGACACUAUUUUAAGCUCUAUGUUCUCCACCUUGGUCAUCUUGUCAGUAAGUGUCAUCCAUGGACAUGUGAUCUCCUAUCCAAAUGACCCUCAUUAUUUUAGCAUCUGAAGCUAAUUGUUUUAAACAAAACACCUGCAUGCUGUUGAAUCAGACAUGAAUGUCUUGCUGCAGACCGUGGUUACUUCUAGAGAUGCAAUAAUACCUUUUUUCUGGGAAGGGCAACAUGUAAUAAAUGGUAAAGAGUCUUAACAAUGUAUAAAACAUAGUAUAUUUUAUUCAUGUAAAAUGUUACUAAUAUAUUACUAACAUGAAGUCAGUGUUGAAGGCAGGUUUUGUUGUAGAUGUUCUUUUCCCAUUGUCUAAUUGAUGGUUCUUAGUUGUUUAGAGAAACUAAUAAGGGGUCAGAAUUAUAUCAAUAUCAAAUAUUUUGACCACUUCUGUGUUGAAAUCUGCCUUAAAUUUGGUAGUGAUAGAUGUACACUUUCUGUUUAAAUAAUUUAAGACACCUGUAAAGAAACCUAUCAGUUCAGAUUUGUUGUUAAAUUGUGCUUUGUUUAUGAGAAUGGGAGCGAGAGUGAUUGAGAGCAUAAAUAAAGAUCUAAAAUGAUGAA